GAAGUUUGCCGGAUGAUCGUAGGGCGUUAGCUCUGAGGAAAGUCCGGACUCCAUAGGACAGCGUAGGAGGUAACACCUCUCCGCCGUGAGGCGAGGAUUAGAGCAACAGAGACGAGCCGGUUAAGUCCGGUUGAAACGGGCAAUCUCUACGCGGAGCAACACCAAAUAGACAGUUAUUGACCCUGUCCGGCGAGACUGUGGGUAGGUGGCUCGAAAUAUAAGGCGACUUAUAUUCUAGAUGAAUGAUCAUCGCGCAAUUUAUUGCGGACAGAAUCCGGCUUACGGCAAACUUUUUCU
This 297-nucleotide RNase P RNA is filed under the name Burkholderiales bacterium. RNAcentral's name for it is "RNase P RNA component class A". It matches the Rfam family "Bacterial RNase P class A". From Rfam's summary of the family: Ribonuclease P (RNase P) is a ubiquitous endoribonuclease, found in archaea, bacteria and eukarya as well as chloroplasts and mitochondria. Its best characterised activity is the generation of mature 5'-ends of tRNAs by cleaving the 5'-leader elements of precursor-tRNAs. Lineage: Bacteria; Pseudomonadati; Pseudomonadota; Betaproteobacteria; Burkholderiales. The record is from RNAcentral.